GAACGCUCCGCAAGGGGAGUGGCAGACGGGUGAGUAACGCGUGGGAACGUACCCCUCGGUUCGGAAUAACUCAGGGAAACUUGAGCUAAUACCGGAUACGGCCGAGAGGCGAAAGAUUUAUCGCCGAGGGAUCGGCCCGCGUCCGAUUAGCUAGUUGGUGAGGUAACGGCUCACCAAGGCGACGAUCGGUAGCUGGUCUGAGAGGAUGAUCAGCCACAUUGGGACUGAGACACGGCCCAAACUCCUACGGGAGGCAGCAGUGGGGAAUAUUGGACAAUGGGCGAAAGCCUGAUCCAGCCAUGCCGCGUGAGUGAUGAAGGCCUUAGGGUUGUAAAGCUCUUUCGUCAGGGACGAUAAUGACGGUACCUGAAGAAGAAGCCCCGGCUAACUUCGUG
RNAcentral lists this ribosomal RNA (395 nucleotides) under uncultured bacterium. RNAcentral's name for it is "bacterial SSU rRNA". It matches the Rfam family "Bacterial small subunit ribosomal RNA", at positions 64 to 507 of the family's 1533-position model. The record is from RNAcentral.